RNAcentral lists this ribosomal RNA (533 nucleotides) under uncultured bacterium. RNAcentral's name for it is "bacterial SSU rRNA". It matches the Rfam family "Bacterial small subunit ribosomal RNA", at positions 977 to 1509 of the family's 1533-position model. The record is from RNAcentral.
GGCCUUGACAUACUAAGAACUUUCCAGAGAUGGAUUGGUGCCUUCGGGAACUUAGAUACAGGUGCUGCAUGGCUGUCGUCAGCUCGCGUCGUGAGAUGUUGGGUUAAGUCCCGNAACGAGCGCAACCCUUUUCCUUAUUUGCCAGCGGGUCAUGCCGGGAACUUUAAGGAUACUGCCAGUGACAAACUGGAGGAAGGCGGGGACGACGUCAAGUCAUCAUGGCCCUUACGGCCAGGGCUACACACGUGCUACAAUGGUCGGUACAAAGGGUUGCUACCUCGCGAGAGGAUGCUAAUCUCAAAAAGCCGAUCGUAGUCCGGAUCGCAGUCUGCAACUCGACUGCGUGAAGUCGGAAUCGCUAGUAAUCGCGGAUCAGAAUGCCGCGGUGAAUACGUUCCCGGGCCUUGUACACACCGCCCGUCACACCAUGGGAGUUUGUUGCACCAGAAGUAGGUAGUCUAACCGCAAGGAGGACGCUUACCACGGUGUGGCCGAUGACUGGGGUGAAGUCGUAACAAGGUAGGCGUAGAUGA